UACGGAGGGAGCUAGCGUUGUUCGGAAUUACUGGGCGUAAAGCGCACGUAGGCGGCUUUGUAAGUUAGAGGUGAAAGCCCGGAGCUCAACUCCGGAACUGCCUUUAAGACUGCAUCGCUUGAAUCCGGGAGAGGUGAGUGGAAUUCCGAGUGUAGAGGUGAAAUUCGUAGAUAUUCGGAAGAACACCAGUGGCGAAGGCGGCUCACUGGACCGGUAUUGACGCUGAGGUGCGAAAGCGUGGGGAGCAAACAGG
This 253-nucleotide ribosomal RNA is filed under the name uncultured bacterium. Its description in RNAcentral is "partial 16S ribosomal RNA". It matches the Rfam family "Bacterial small subunit ribosomal RNA", at positions 524 to 776 of the family's 1533-position model. The record is from RNAcentral.